This 75-nucleotide transfer RNA is filed under the name Paracoccaceae bacterium. RNAcentral describes it as "Rhodobacteraceae bacterium tRNA-Thr". It matches the Rfam family "tRNA". Rfam says of the family: Transfer RNA (tRNA) molecules are approximately 80 nucleotides in length. Their secondary structure includes four short double-helical elements and three loops (D, anti-codon, and T loops). Further hydrogen bonds mediate the characteristic L-shaped molecular structure. tRNAs have two regions of fundamental functional importance: the anti-codon, which is responsible for specific mRNA codon recognition, and the 3' end, to which the tRNAs corresponding amino acid is attached (by aminoacyl-tRNA synthetases). tRNAs cope with the degeneracy of the genetic code in two manners: having more than one tRNA (with a specific anti-codon) for a particular amino acid; and 'wobble' base-pairing, i.e. permitting non-standard base-pairing at the 3rd anti-codon position. RNAcentral also lists the same sequence under 1 other name. The record is from RNAcentral. Lineage: Bacteria; Pseudomonadati; Pseudomonadota; Alphaproteobacteria; Rhodobacterales; Paracoccaceae.
GCCGGUGUAGCACAGUGGUAGUGCAGCGGUUUUGUAAACCGAAGGUCGGGAGUUCGAGUCUCUCCACCGGCACCA